AGAAUAUUGCACAAUGGACGAAAGUCUGAUGCAGCGACACCGCGUGAGGGAUGAAGGUUUUAGGAUUGUAAACCUCUUUUAUUAGGGAAUAGCAAGGAAGGUACCUAAUGAAUAAGCUACGGCUAACUACGUGCCAGCAGCCGCGGUAAUACGUAGGUAGCGAACGUUGUCCGGAAUCACUGGGCGUAAAGGGUCCGUAGGCGGUUUGAUAAGUCUCAUAUGAAAACUUCAAGCUCAACUUGGAGAGGUUGUGAGAUACUGUCAAACUAGAGACUGUUAGAGGUAAGUGGAAUUCCAGGUGUAGUGGUGAAAUGCGUAGAUAUCUGGAGGAACACCAGUGGCGAAAGCGACUUACUGGGACAGUUCUGACGCUAAGGGACGAAAGCGUGGGGAGCGAACCGGAUUAGAUACCCGGGUAGUCCACGCCGUAAACGAUGAUUGCUAGGUUUUCGGGGCAUCGACCCCUCGUGAGCCGAAGUUAACGCGUUAAGCAAUCCGCCUGAGUAGUACGGCCGCAAGGCUAAAACUCAAAGAAAUUGACGGGGGACCGCACAAGCAGCGGAGCGUGUGGUUUAAUUCGAUGGUAAGCGAAGAACCUUACCAGGGUUUGACAUGUAAGUAGUACUGAACCGAAAGGGGAUGGACCCGCAAGGGAGCUUACACAGGUGUUGCAUGGUUGUCGUCAGCUCGUGCCGUGAGGUGUUGGGUUAAGUCCCGCAACGAGCGCAACCCUCUUUGUUAGUUGCACUCUCUAACGAUACUGCCCUUAAAAGGGAGGAAGGUGGGGAUGACGUCAAAUCAUCAUGGCUCUUACACCCUGGGCUACACACACGCUACAAUGGCAAGUACAGACGGUUGCCAACCCGCGAGGGGGAGCUAAUCCGAUAAAACUUGUCUCAGUUGGGAUUAUAGGCUGAAAUUCGCCUAUAUGAACGUGGAGUUGCUAGUAAACGCAGGUCAGCACACUGCGUUGAAUACGUUCCCGGUCCUUGUACACACCGCCCGUCACGUCAUGGAAGUUUGUAACACUUGAAGUCGUUGCGCUAACCCUUUGGGAGGCAGACGCCGAGAGUGGGACGGAUGACUGGGACGAAGUCGUAACAAGGUAGCUGUACCGGAAGGUGCG
This 1126-nucleotide ribosomal RNA is filed under the name marine metagenome. RNAcentral's name for it is "bacterial SSU rRNA". It matches the Rfam family "Bacterial small subunit ribosomal RNA", at positions 358 to 1516 of the family's 1533-position model. The record is from RNAcentral.